This 228-nucleotide long non-coding RNA is filed under the name Trifolium pratense (red clover). Its description in RNAcentral is "long non-coding RNA (TPRA_LNC002957)". Lineage: Eukaryota; Viridiplantae; Streptophyta; Magnoliopsida; Fabales; Fabaceae. The record is from RNAcentral.
ACCCAAAAGAAGUUAAAUAAGACCCAAGCAAAACAUAAAGACUAGACCACCAACUAUGACAGUCAGUGGCAGAACCGGAAAAAAUAUUGUGGGUGGGCCGACAAAUAGUCGAUCUAUUUUCGAAUUGAAUUUUUUGGUCCCUCUAUUUUGGUACCAACAAUCUAUAUUUUUACUCUAAAAAUUGUGAUUUUUGGCCAUAAAGGUGAUUUAUUGUCUCCAAAUAUGAAA